UGAUGGUGGAUUUGUUGGUGAAACAUCAGAGCACACUGGCCGUUGGAUCUUUUGACCAGUCUCGUUUUCAAAGAUGUGUAGCGUCUCACUAAUGGGCCGGGCUUAAUUAAAACGAUCCAGUAUAAAAACGCCAUCCAGUGCUAUAACUUAUAACUAAAACGGCAAGGCAUUGUGGAGUUUAGAACUCGUUUAGGACUGACUAUUCUCUCCGACGACGAUCUUCGUAUAAAACCAGAUCGGCGGGAAAUCGAGUUUCAAAUUCGCAGGAUUAGGUCGAGAUUCGUGUAAAUCCGAGAGUAUAGAAGCUUUUUGUUCACCAUCCUUGUGGAUUUUUACUCUAAAUUUCCAAAAAUGGAUUCGGAGUCUGUGAAGGAGUUCAUACGAAGCGAAGUUCCUGAUUGGGACGAUGAGGUGGUGGCGACGGCUAGAUUCAAGGCGUUUAGCGGACAGAGAUCCGAUUGGGAAGUUAAAUUUCAGUUUUGGCGCGAUUUGAUCAUCAAGGUCUCGCGUCGUUUCGGAGUGCUCAUCAUUGAUCCUGUCCAGGUGAAGAAGGCGUGGUUUGAUCGAGGAGGAAUGACGCCUUUAUGCAUUGAUCAUGUACUGUUAUUGAUGCAUAGUGAAGGUGAUGUUGUGCUGGCAAGUGAACUUGAAAGUCCGGUUAGUGGGCGUUUAUCUCGUUUGUUGAGGACAGUGACAAGUUUAGUAUCUCAACCUUCAGUGAAGCCGGGAGAGAUUCUUGAAAACGAACUUGUUAUUGUUCCUCUCUUGAAGGAGAAGGCUGCUGAUGUGGUGAGACUUUUAUCUGAGGGGCACUGGACUUCUACUUGUGUUGUCACGCUGAACAAGUUCCGGGACUUGUGCAACGGUUCGAAUGAGGCAUCUGUUGUUUUGAGUCACUUGUCAGGGUGUGGAAAAGCGCAUAAAAUCUCUAUUAAUCGGGGAGAAUUGAUUGAGGGUGUCAAAGUGUUCUUUUCAGAAUCAGCACUUCCCGGUAUCUCAACUCUAGACUGUGACGUUCUGCACUUGCUAAGCACCACAGAGAAGCUCCAAAAUCAACUCGAAGUGAUGGACCAACGUUGUGAAAUGUCAAGGAAAUCAGCGUUGGCAUCUCUAAAGUCUGGACACCAGAAAGUUGCUCUAAGGCAUGCAAGGGAACUGAAGCUGACCACUGAGAGCAGAGAAAAAUGCACGUCACUUCUGAACAGAGUAGAGGAAGUGUUGAGCAAUAUAGCUGAUUCCGAAUCAACGAAAAUGGUCUCAGAAGCAAUCAAAACUGGAGCGAGGGUUAUGAAGGACAUCAAGAUCAGUCCAGAUGAAGUUCAUGACUAUUUGGAAGAAAUCGAAGAUACCAUUCAAUCACAGAAGGAAGUUGAAAAGGCUCUCGAAUCAGCUCCAUAUCCAGAUAUUGAUGAUGAAAAUAUUGAAGAAGAGUUCAUGAAAUUAGAGAUGGAGCUUGAAAGCGAAAGUUCCCAGGUUAGACCAACGACUUCAGAUACUGCAGAUUCACUGUCUGAGAUGUUCUCAGAGCUUAAACUUGGCAACACAAAACAAAUAUUGGAGGAGCAAGCGACUGAACCAGUUCGGAUGAAAGAUGGCGGCAAAAAGAUUCUUGAAGCAGCAUAGUCGCAGAACGCAUCUUCAUUGUGGUGCGAUCUCUUCUCUACUUGGUGUUGUACAAUAUAAAUAGAAAGGAACUUGAUGUAUUUGUCGUCAGAGGGAAACUAGUACUCGAGAUUAUUAUUAUUAACCUAUAUGUUACAUGAACAAGGAGAGCUGGC
This is an RNA transcript of Brassica oleracea var. oleracea, 1778 nucleotides long. It is a transcript of the gene named charged multivesicular body protein 7, with no coding region annotated. The transcript has 9 exons. The record is from RefSeq and is a predicted model, not a curated record. NCBI's taxonomy places the organism in Eukaryota, Viridiplantae, Streptophyta, Magnoliopsida, Brassicales, Brassicaceae.